This 368-nucleotide ribosomal RNA is filed under the name uncultured organism. Its description in RNAcentral is "bacterial SSU rRNA". It matches the Rfam family "Bacterial small subunit ribosomal RNA", at positions 526 to 896 of the family's 1533-position model. The record is from RNAcentral.
CGGAGGAUCCAAGCGUUAUCCGGAUUUAUUGGGUUUAAAGGGUGCGUAGGCGGCUUAUUAAGUCAGGGGUGAAAGACGGUGGCUCAACCAUCGCAGUGCCUUUGAUACUGAUGAGCUUGAAUAAACUUGAGGUAGGCGGAAUGUGACAAGUAGCGGUGAAAUGCAUAGAUAUGUCACAGAACACCAAUUGCGAAGGCAGCUUACUAAGGUUUUAUUGACGCUGAGGCACGAAAGCGUGGGGAUCAAACAGGAUUAGAUACCCUGGUAGUCCACGCCCUAAACGAUGAAUACUCGAUGUUAGCGAUAUACAGUUAGCGUCUAAGCGAAAGCGUUAAGUAUUCCACCUGGGGAGUACGCCCGCAAGGGUG